Pelobates cultripes (western spadefoot toad) is the source of this 287-nucleotide non-coding RNA. The record is from the annotation of a GenBank genome assembly. Lineage: Eukaryota; Metazoa; Chordata; Amphibia; Anura; Pelobatidae.
GUUCACCCAACACUGACGCAUUCCGACGACCAUCAUAUCACUCGACGCAGAGAAGGCAUUUGAUCGCCUUCUCUGGCCUUUCUUAUUUCAAACCCUCAAGCACUUUGGCUUCCCCCCCAACUCAUAACAUUCCUUGAGACCACUUACCGCCUAUCAUGGGGAGCUCUCCUGCUGUCCAACAUUACACCAUCCCACUUCACAAUCAUGAACGGAACCAGGCAGGGAUGCCCACCAUCCCUCUCCUAUUUGCUCUGUCCCAGGAGCCAUUGUUGGAGGCAAUCCGUUCC